RNAcentral lists this ribosomal RNA (852 nucleotides) under Triticum aestivum (bread wheat). RNAcentral describes it as "partial small subunit ribosomal RNA". Lineage: Eukaryota; Viridiplantae; Streptophyta; Magnoliopsida; Poales; Poaceae. The record is from RNAcentral.
AUGGGAUUUAUUGGAAAAAUUAAAUGCAACUCUGAAGAUUGGGAUCUCGACGAAGGUAAAGAGUCAGGUAUAACACGUAAGUUUGAUUGUGUUAAAUCUUUUAUGGAUACCGAUGCUUUCCGUGAAUUUAGCACUAAAUAUGGACUUGACUCUGAGAUAGUAGCUUCUUUCUGUGAAUCAUUUGCUACUCAUGUUGAUCUCCCUAAGGAGAAGUGGUUUAAAUAUAAUCCUCCCGUUGAAGUAAAAGUAGUUGCACCUAUCAAAGUUGAAGAAAAGACUAUCACUUACAAUGAUCCUAUUGUUCCUACUGCCUAUGUUGAGAAACCACAUUUCCCUGUUAGAAUAAAGGAUCAUGCUAAAGCUUCACCUGUAGUCAACAAAAGUAAUAUUAGGACACACAAACCCCCUAAGCAAGUUAAAGUUGAACCUAAUAUUGAUAUGGUUAAAGAUUUCUUGGCUGAUAAUAUUGAUGGGCAUGUUAUUUAUUUCUAUGAGGAAACUGCUAGAAUUGCUAAACCUGGUGAUAAAGAUAAACAUAGACCUGUUGUAGGCAUGCCUGUUAUUUCUGUCAAAAUAGGAGAUCAUUGUUAUCACGGCUUAUGCGAUAUGGGUGCUAGUGCUAGUGCAAUACCUCAUUCUUUAUAUCAAGAAAUUAUGCAUGAUAUUGCACCUGCUGAGAUAGAAGAAAUCGAUGUUACCAUUAAGCUUGCCAAUAGAGAUACUAUUUCACCAAUUGGGAUUGUUAGAGAUGUUGAAGUCUUGUGUGGGAAGGUUAAAUAUCCUGCUGAUUUUCUUGUUCUUGGUUCCCCACAAGAUAACUUUGUCCCAUUAUAUUUGGUAGACCCUUCUUGA